AAAAAGACCAACCGAACCGAUGACAUGCUCAAAGAUGGUCUAAGCAAUCACCAAUUCACAGCCAUGGCUUAGCAUUCCUCUUUAGAAACUAUAUUCUAACAGGAACCUGCAAAAGUCACAUUCGAGUAACAAGCCUUUGUGCUUUCCAAUUCCAGACAAUCUUUUCUCCAUAAUGAAAUUAAAAUUGGACAGCAGUGGUUGCUACCCCACCCCUAAAAUAUCAUCUACAUAAUCAAAUUAAAACUGAAGACUUCAUUGAACCAAAUCACCAUAAUAGAUUUCUCUCAUUAAUAUUUCUCAAGUGUUUGUGAUCCUGCAAUCAACAUUUUUGCUCAUUUUCUUUUUUGAACGAAAAGAAGAAAUUUUAUUUCACAGCAGAAAACUAUACAUGAGAGAAAAAAACAAUAAUUCAAGCUACAUCUAACAACUAGAAAACUAAUCUCCAUGAUGAUGAAUUUAAUAUUUUGACCACUAUGGUUGGGCCUGCUGCUGAAACUAAUGGCUCCCCAACUAGAAAUGUCAGCUCCAUAAUGAAAUUCAAACAAGGUGUACAUUACCAUUCCAAUAAUGAAGAGACAGAGUCCUCUUGUAAUUGAGACAGCCUUCAACCAUAUCACUAUUAUAAAUUGAUUAUUUCUGAUCCAUAAUUAAUAGUUUACUAUUUGUGUGAUCCUGCAACAAACCCUUUGGCUCUAUAGAUAGAUAGAAAUUUAUACUUUAGGUUAAUGACUUAAAUGGUA
RNAcentral lists this long non-coding RNA (740 nucleotides) under Prunus persica (peach). Its description in RNAcentral is "long non-coding RNA (PPER_LNC007174)". Lineage: Eukaryota; Viridiplantae; Streptophyta; Magnoliopsida; Rosales; Rosaceae. The record is from RNAcentral.